Molecule: ribosomal RNA, 253 nt
Filed under: uncultured bacterium
Lineage: Bacteria
Description: partial 16S ribosomal RNA
Rfam family: Bacterial small subunit ribosomal RNA
Source: RNAcentral
UACGAAGGGGGCUAGCGUUGUUCGGAAUUACUGGGCGUAAAGGGCGCGUAGGCGGUACUUCAAGUCAGGCGUGAAAGCCCCGGGCUCAACCUGGGAACUGCGCUUGAGACUGGAGAACUAGAGUUCGGGAGAGGAUGGUGGAAUUCCCAGUGUAGAGGUGAAAUUCGUAGAUAUUGGGAAGAACACCGAUGGCGAAGGCAGCCAUCUGGACCGACACUGACGCUGAGGCGCGAAAGCGUGGGGAGCAAACAGG